UUCGUGUCCCCAAAUUAAAUGUCCAAAAUACCCUCCUCAUCUACACAGCUCAUUCAAUCUGAGGAGCGUACAUUCAACCCUUCCUCCCCGUUUUCCUCCCGUUUUCUCUCUCCUUGGAUCUUCUUCGUCUUCCUCAAAUCCUCUCAUCCCGAAUAGAAUCGUCUACCCUUCCUUCGUUCAUUCCCAUCCUCUCUAGCCCUAAAAAAAACCCCAAAUUUCGAAAACCCUCCCCGCAGCAAAACCUCAUUCUCAAACUCUAACCCUAAAUCAAUGUCGAUCAGCUUGAGAAAAGCCACCACUCGGCUACCUUCCAAAGUAAACCGAGUUCUAUAUGUUCGAAAUCUGCCCUUCAACAUCACCAGCGAAGAGAUGUACGACAUCACCAGCGAAGAGAAGUACAGAGCAAUUCGCCAAAUUCAACAUCACCAGAGAAGAGAAGUACAACAUAGAGUUGAAGAAUGAUCUGGGUUGUCUUCGCAUAAUUGAAUUUUUGAUUGAAUUUUGGGGAUUACUUUCCAGGUGUUUCGUUUGACCAUUCAGAUAAAGAGCUUUUCUGCCUGGUGAAGUGGCGAAUAUGCCGGCGAAAUUGAACCAGUGUAAGCUUGAUGCUCGCCGUGAACAAUGCCUUUCGCAAGAUUGUUUCUAUUGGUGAGACAAUGGAAUCGUUCAUGGAGCUUCAGACUUUUGAUGAUAGGAUUUUGAGGAAAUUGGCAUACUCACAUGUAUGGAAUUCCUGAGAGCAGGUUGCGUAGGUUGUACUAUGGCUAUCAUGAAGAAUGUUUUAAGGUAUCUUCCGUGUAUCAGAUCUCCUUGAUUUUAUUAGUCCUGAUCAUGAUCCUAAGGGCGGAGAUGCUCAGAAGAAACAUAGGUGUUCAAAGGGAUUCUUUUAUGAAGCAUUUUAUGGAGAAAUGAGCUUGAACGAGGAUCACUUCAAACGGAUAGAAGCAGCGGCAGCAAAAGGAGGAACUCAAGAAAUCUUACCAUGAGCUUGAAGGGGUCUUCUCCACCCAAAAAAUCAAGAACUCGAGUUCAAUCGAAGAAAACUCUUACUGCAUCAAUGGCUUCAAAGGAAAUUUCCUACAAAGAAGUUGCCAUGUCACCCCCAUGAACUAUCUUCAAGCCUGUGCAGCAGAAGGAAGAAGUAACUAAUGCAGAAGAAAUCCAGAAAGUUCCUGAAACUUCUUACAAAGUAGUCAGUCCAGUAGGACUGAAGGUAACAAGCAUACCAGGCUUCAACACACCAGUCUCAACACGUCCUACAUGCACAGUUCCAAUACCUCCAAUCUAAUAACCUUAAUUUUUUAAUAUGAACUUUGUGAACAUAUUUUUAUCUAAUUUUAUAUUUAGUGGUUGUAAUACAAUUUAAACUUUUUAUAUAAUCCGCACGUAUCGCUUCCUUCUAUUUUAAGUUUUUUGUCAUAUAA
Spinacia oleracea (spinach) is the source of this 1424-nucleotide long non-coding RNA. RefSeq lists it as uncharacterized. The record is from RefSeq and is a predicted model, not a curated record. The transcript is spliced from 8 exons. Lineage: Eukaryota; Viridiplantae; Streptophyta; Magnoliopsida; Caryophyllales; Amaranthaceae.